Molecule: ribosomal RNA, 275 nt
Filed under: uncultured bacterium
Lineage: Bacteria
Description: partial 16S ribosomal RNA
Rfam family: Bacterial small subunit ribosomal RNA
Source: RNAcentral
GCGUGAGUGAUGAAGGCCUUCGGGUUGUAAAGCUCUUUCACCCGUGACGAUGAUGACGGUAGCGGGAGAAGAAGCCCCGGCUAACUCCGUGCCAGCAGCCGCGGUAAUACGGAGGGGGCAAGCGUUGUUCGGAAUUACUGGGCGUAAAGGGCGCGUAGGCGGCCUGUUGCGUCAGGUGUGAAAUCCCCGGGCUCAACCUGGGAACGGCACUUGAUACGGGCAGGCUGGAAUCCGGGAGAGGAUGGUGGAAUUCCCAGUGUAGAGGUGAAAUUCGU